AAACCUAAARAUGAUGAUUGAGAAUUAACGCAUAGUUCAACUGRUAUCUAUGAAGAAAAUAUUUCCAUCAAUAUAGUCUUUCACCCCUAUCUGAUUUUAGGCUU
RNAcentral lists this small nucleolar RNA (104 nucleotides) under Brettanomyces bruxellensis AWRI1499. RNAcentral's name for it is "Small nucleolar RNA snR60/Z15/Z230/Z193/J17". It matches the Rfam family "Small nucleolar RNA snR60/Z15/Z230/Z193/J17". From Rfam's summary of the family: The members of this family belong to the C/D class of snoRNAs which contain the C (UGAUGA) and D (CUGA) box motifs. Most of the members of the box C/D family function in directing site-specific 2'-O-methylation of substrate RNAs. The family includes the yeast snoRNA snR60 (also known as Z15) and the corresponding human guide snoRNA U80 (SNORD80). The record is from Rfam by way of RNAcentral. Lineage: Eukaryota; Fungi; Ascomycota; Pichiomycetes; Pichiales; Pichiaceae.